UACUUGGCUUUAGGCUCCCCAGCAACCUCUGGAGCCAGCUUAAUAGGUUCAUGUGUGGUGUGGUUUGCUGUGCCAAGGACGACCAUGCCUGGGGCAUCCAGGGCUCCCCACUGUGUAUGUGUGGUGCUGUGAAGGAUGCUCUACAUGUCCUGGAUGGUUGCUGUUUCCAUGUUGGGCUCCCUGGAGGUUUUCUCAGGCUGAACACUGCUGACUCAGAGGCCAUUGAUUGGCUCAUUUAGCUUUUAUUUUACCUUGCUUAUAUAUAUAUAUAAUCUUCUUCUAUCCAAGCUCUUAAUCACUAAUGAAAUAAGGCUCACAACAAGCCUAUGAACUAGGUCAGUACUGUUAACUAGAUAAGUAUUCCCCAUUUUACAUAUGGGGAAACCAAGGCAGAGAGGUUUAGUAACUUGCCCAUGGUCACAGAGUAGGUCUGUCGCAGAGCCAAUAAUAGAACUGAUCUCCUUACCUCCAGUGCUUUAGUUACCAGACCUUGCUUCCCUUCCUUUACCUUGGAAUAUUUUAAAAAGUGAUGCAUACUAUCAGGCUGCAGCACUGUGGAGAAUGCACACCAAUUCACCAUUGCAACCAAACCAAAAUGAUCCUUUCUCCCACGCUUCCAUGCCACAUCCUAAAUCUUUUAAGCUCUUGCCCCAUGCUGCAACAGGUACAAAAGCUCCCUUCAAUUGCAAAAAUAUCUGUGUGAUCCAGUUGGUGGUAAUGUACCUCUAAUCAGGAACUUGCUCCAAUGCACUAACACCCUUUGCUGUCUCUGAGAUAGGGUUAACAUCACGGAGGACAUGACCAAGAGAGUUAAUCCUGAUCUGCUUAAUAUGCUAGGAUGACAAUUUUCAGAGCAUCAACCUAUGAAGGAGAUCACUUUGUAGAUUGUUGAACUUUCCAAAACUUUGGGUUCCAUAAUGACUAUUAAGUCCAUGUGACUCGAGUAGCCUUGAAAUGGAAUUGAAUAGGAUUCCUUGUUCCUUUUCAAAACAAAGACCUUUUUACAUAA
Dermochelys coriacea (leatherback sea turtle) is the source of this 1009-nucleotide long non-coding RNA. RefSeq lists it as uncharacterized. The record is from RefSeq and is a predicted model, not a curated record. The transcript has 2 exons. NCBI's taxonomy places the organism in Eukaryota, Metazoa, Chordata, Testudines, Dermochelyidae.